GAUGAACGCUGGCGGCGUGCCUAAUACAUGCAAGUCGAGCGAACGGACGAAAAGCUUGCUUUUCUGAUGUUAGCGGCGGACGGGUGAGUAACACGUGGAUAACCUACCUAUAAGACUGGGAUAACUUCGGGAAACCGGAGCUAAUACCGGAUAAUAUUUUGAACCGCAUGGUUCAAAAGUGAAAGACGGUCUUGCUGUCACUUAUAGAUGGAUCCGCGCUGCAUUAGCUAGUUGGUAAGGUAACGUCUUACCAAGGCAACGAUGCAUAGCCGACCUGAGAGGGUGAUCGGCCACACUGGAACUGAGACACGGUCCAGACUCCUACGGGAGGCAGCAGUAGGGAAUCUUCCGCAAUGGGCGAAAGCCUGACGGAGCAACGCCGCGUGAGUGAUGAAGGUCUUCGGAUCGUAAAACUCUGUUAUUAGGGAAGAACAUAUGUGUAAGUAACUGUGCACAUCUUGACGGUACCUAAUCAGAAAGCCACGGCUAACUACGUG
Molecule: ribosomal RNA, 497 nt
Filed under: uncultured bacterium
Lineage: Bacteria
Description: partial 16S ribosomal RNA
Rfam family: Bacterial small subunit ribosomal RNA
Source: RNAcentral